Non-coding RNA from Pelobates cultripes (western spadefoot toad), 282 nucleotides. The record is from the annotation of a GenBank genome assembly. NCBI's taxonomy places the organism in Eukaryota, Metazoa, Chordata, Amphibia, Anura, Pelobatidae.
CCCAGUGUUACAAUGAAGCUUGGCCCUGUACCCUCUCCCUGUGUUACAGUAUAGCCUGGCCCUGUACCCUCUCCCUGUGUUACAGUAUAGCCUGGCCCUGUACCCUCUCCCCUGUGUUACAGUAUAGCCUGGCCCUGUACCCUCUCCCCUGUGUUACAGUAUAGCCUGGCCCUGUACCCUCUCCCCUGUGUUACAGUAUAGCCUGGCCCUGUACCCUCUCCCCUGUGUUACAGUAUAGCCUGGCCCUGCACCCUCUCCCCUGUGUUACAGUAUAGCCUGGCC